This 253-nucleotide ribosomal RNA is filed under the name uncultured bacterium. RNAcentral describes it as "partial 16S ribosomal RNA". It matches the Rfam family "Bacterial small subunit ribosomal RNA", at positions 524 to 776 of the family's 1533-position model. The record is from RNAcentral.
UACGUAGGUGGCAAGCGUUGUCCGGAUUUACUGGGCGUAAAGAGCGCGCAGGCGGUCGUUCAAGUCGCGUGUGAAAGCCCCCGGCUCAACUGGGGAGGGUCACGCGAUACUGAUCGACUCGAAGGCAGGAGAGGGUAGUGGAAUUCCCGGUGUAGUGGUGAAAUGCGUAGAUAUCGGGAGGAACACCAGUGGCGAAGGCGACUACCUGGCCUGUUCUUGACGCUGAGACACGAAAGCCAGGGGAGCGAACGGG